Molecule: ribosomal RNA, 654 nt
Filed under: uncultured Methylobacterium sp.
Lineage: Bacteria; Pseudomonadati; Pseudomonadota; Alphaproteobacteria; Hyphomicrobiales; Methylobacteriaceae
Description: bacterial SSU rRNA
Rfam family: Bacterial small subunit ribosomal RNA
Source: RNAcentral
GCAAGUCGAGCGGGCACCUUCGGGUGUCAGCGGCAGACGGGUGAGUAACACGUGGGAACGUACCCUUCGGUUCGGAAUAACGCUGGGAAACUAGCGCUAAUACCGGAUACGCCCUUAUGGGGAAAGGUUUACUGCCGAAGGAUCGGCCCGCGUCUGAUUAGCUAGUUGGUGGGGUAACGGCCUACCAAGGCGACGAUCAGUAGCUGGUCUGAGAGGAUGAUCAGCCACACUGGGACUGAGACACGGCCCAGACUCCUACGGGAGGCAGCAGUGGGGAAUAUUGGACAAUGGGCGCAAGCCUGAUCCAGCCAUGCCGCGUGAGUGAUGAAGGCCUUAGGGUUGUAAAGCUCUUUUGUCCGGGACGAUAAUGACGGUACCGGAAGAAUAAGCCCCGGCUAACUUCGUGCCAGCAGCCGCGGUAAUACGAAGGGGGCUAGCGUUGCUCGGAAUCACUGGGCGUAAAGGGCGCGUAGGCGGCCAUUCAAGUCGGGGGUGAAAGCCUGUGGCUCAACCACAGAAUUGCCUUCGAUACUGUUUGGCUUGAGUAUGGCAGAGGUCAGUGGAACUGCGAGUGUAGAGGUGAAAUUCGUAGAUAUUCGCAAGAACACCAGUGGCGAAGGCGGCUGACUGGGCCAUUACUGACGCUGAGGCGCG